CAGGACGAACGCUGGCGGCGUGCUUCACACAUGCAAGUCGAACGGAAAGGCCCGCUUGCGGGUACUCGAGUGGCGAACGGGUGAGUAACACGUGGGUAACCUGCCCCGGACUUUGGGAUAACCGUUGGAAACGACGGCUAAUACCGGAUACGACCAUUUCCCGCAUGGGGGGUGGUGGAAAGUUGUUUCGGUUCGGGAGGGACCCGCGGCCUAUCAGUUGGUUGGUGGGGUAAUGGCCUACCAAGGCGUUGACGGGUAGCCGGCCUGAGAGGGCGGUCGGUCACAUUGGGACUGAGAUACGGCCCAGACUCCUACGGGAGGCAGCAGUGGGGAAUUUUGCACAAUGGGCGGAAGCCUGAUGCAGCGACGCCGCGUGAGGGAUGACGGCUUUCGGGUUGUAAACCUCUUUUAUCCAUGACGAAGGUACUGUUUUUCAGUGUUGACGGUAGUGGUUGAAUAAGCGCCGGCUAACUACGUGCCAGCAGCCGCGGUAAGACGUAGGGCGCGAGCGUUGUCCGGAUUUAUUGGGCGUAAAGGGCUCGUAGGCGGCUCGUCGCGUCUGCCGUGAAAGGCCUCGGCUUAACUGGGGUUUUGCGGUGGAUACGGGCGGGCUUGAGGCAAGUAGGGGAGAUCGGAAUUCUACGUGUAGCGGUGAAAUGCGCAGAUAUGUGGAGGAACACCGGUGGCGAAGGCGGAUCUCUGGGCUUGUUCUGACGCUGAGGAGCGAAAGCGUGGGGAGCGAACAGGAUUAGAUACCCUGGUAGUCCAUGCUGUAAACGGUGGGCGCUAGGUGUGGGCCGGCUUUGUUCGGUCUGUGCCGUAGCUAACGCAUUAAGCGCCCCGCCUGGGGAGUACGGCCGCAAGGCCAAAACUCAAAGGAAUUGACGGGGGCCCGCACAAGCGGCGGAGCAUGCGGAUUAAUUCGAUGCAACGCGAAGAACCUUACCUGGGUUUGACAUCACCCGGAAACGCCUAGAGAUAGGCGCCUCUUCGGACUGGGUGACAGGUGGUGCAUGGCUGUCGUCAGCUCGUGUCGUGAGAUGUUGGGUUAAGUCCCGCAACGAGCGCAACCCUUAUCCCGUGUUGCCAGCAUUCAGUUGGGGACUCGCGGGAGACUGCCGGGGUUAACUCGGAGGAAGGUGGGGAUGAGGUCAAGUCAUCAUGCCCCUUAUGUCCAGGGCUUCACGCAUGCUACA
Molecule: ribosomal RNA, 1196 nt
Filed under: Glycomyces buryatensis
Lineage: Bacteria; Bacillati; Actinomycetota; Actinomycetes; Glycomycetales; Glycomycetaceae
Description: bacterial SSU rRNA
Rfam family: Bacterial small subunit ribosomal RNA
Source: RNAcentral